AGCGCCGUGUUACGGGUAGAAUUUUGACUGUUAAUCAAUUGGUCGUAGGUUCGAUCCCUACCGCCGGAGCCA
RNAcentral lists this transfer RNA (72 nucleotides) under Litorivita pollutaquae. RNAcentral describes it as "Rhodobacteraceae bacterium FSX-11 tRNA-Asn". Lineage: Bacteria; Pseudomonadati; Pseudomonadota; Alphaproteobacteria; Rhodobacterales; Paracoccaceae. The record is from RNAcentral.